UUGACUGUGCUAAGGUAGCAUAAUAAAUUGGCUUUUAAUUGAAGUCGGGAAUGAAAGGGUGUUUGGAGUUAUUCUGUCUUAUUUUUAUUUUUCAAAAAUUACUAAUGAGGUGAAAAUUCCUCAGUGUUAUCUGAUAGACGAGAAGACCCUAAGAAUUACUACAACUGUUUAAUUAUUAAAUAAAAGUUUUUGUUGGGGCAACAACUUUGAUUAACCAAAGUUAAAUAAAUUUUUUAUUAAGUAGACUGUAUUAAAAAUGAAUUUAAUUACCUUAGGGAUAACAGCAUAAUUAUAUUUUUAGAUUGUGACCUCGAUGUUGGAUUAAGGCCU
Molecule: ribosomal RNA, 330 nt
Filed under: Pyramidula sp. 3 OR-2015
Lineage: Eukaryota; Metazoa; Mollusca; Gastropoda; Stylommatophora; Pyramidulidae
Description: partial 16S ribosomal RNA
Source: RNAcentral